Molecule: ribosomal RNA, 465 nt
Filed under: Vreelandella stevensii
Lineage: Bacteria; Pseudomonadati; Pseudomonadota; Gammaproteobacteria; Oceanospirillales; Halomonadaceae
Description: partial 16S ribosomal RNA
Rfam family: Bacterial small subunit ribosomal RNA
Source: RNAcentral
CCUACGGGGGGCUGCAGUGGGGAAUAUUGGACAAUGGGCGAAAGCCUGAUCCAGCCAUGCCGCGUGUGUGAAGAAGGCCUUCGGGUUGUAAAGCACUUUCAGUGGGGAAGAAAGCCUUGGGGCUAAUACCCUCGAGGAAGGACAUCACCCACAGAAGAAGCACCGGCUAACUCCGUGCCAGCAGCCGCGGUAAUACGGAGGGUGCGAGCGUUAAUCGGAAUUACUGGGCGUAAAGCGCGCGUAGGCGGUCUGAUAAGCCGGUUGUGAAAGCCCCGGGCUCAACCUGGGAACGGCAUCCGGAACUGUCAGGCUAGAGUGCAGGAGAGGAAGGUAGAAUUCCCGGUGUAGCGGUGACAUGCGUAGAGAUCGGGAGGAAUACCAGUGGCGAAGGCGGCCUUCUGGACUGACACUGACGCUGAGGUGCGAAAGCGUGGGUAGCAAACAGGAUUAGAUACCCCUGUAGUC